UUAGCUGCUACUUUUAACUUGAAUUGAGUUUUUAAAAUAGUCCUGAGAGCCUAUAAGAGACCCUUAGAAAUGAGAAGGCAAUUAAGAUCAAUGUCUUCUACUUUGUUCUUUAAAAAAUAAGAAAAAAAGAACAUUGUUCACACCUGCCCAAACGAACCACACAAAGGGGGUUGAUGCUCCAGGGUUCGAUUCAACAGAACAGAACUAAACAAGGCAGGUCUGACAACUCCCAUAGUAUCACUCAAUAAGAAACUUUCUAAAAAUAUUGAGUUAAAAUCUCAAAAUAAUGACUUAGCUAGUAUCUCAAUGACAAACCUUCCCAAAAUAAACUAACUUAUUGUUAUAAGUUAAUUAUUAUGUUUGAGAUAAUACAGUUAAUUCAUUAAUUUGAGACAAAACUCCACGGCAGGUAACCAACUCAUUAUAACGACAAUGAUUUACAGGAUCUAUUUUCUUUUCAUCACAUUGGCGGAAAUGGGCUUCCACAGAUCUGGCAGCUGAGUGUAAAUUCCACCUGGACCCCGGCUACCGUCCUCCGUAUGAAUGAGUUACCAGCCCUGCUGCCACUGUUCACUGAUUAUGGACCACGUACAAGGCAGAUACAGGAGCUCGAGACUGGAAAAGUUGACUCGUGGCGCAUCAAAACAGGCCAGUACCAUCACUUGUACAUACUUAUACUUUUAACAUUUUUUUAAUAGGAGCACAAACUUAAAUAGGUGGUUUACAAAGAUGCAUUAAGCUUACAGAAAACUGGUUCAUUAAAUAUCACAUAAAUAGCCACACUUAAUAAUAUAUUAAGUAAUAAUAUAUACUCUAUAUACCUUAAAAGAAAAUAUAUUCUUAACACUUUUAAUGUUGGUAAUUUUACAAGAAGACAAGAUAUUAGAAGUAUAAGGAUUUUAAACCUUUGGUCACACCUACUAAAAUGUUAAUGUCCUAACAGGUGAAAACAUCAGUCAGGGACCGUGCAUCUUUGGAGAUUUGGUAAACCCUAAGCUUACAUACACUCUGCAAGUAUAUACACAUUUUUGCAGAUUAGUAAUGUUUGUUAGUUCCAUAAUGUGUAUAGAUGAUUAGGCAUCUACAACAAUAAAACAGUGCAUAUAAAUACAUUU
Molecule: long non-coding RNA, 1115 nt
Organism: Sander lucioperca (pikeperch)
Lineage: Eukaryota; Metazoa; Chordata; Actinopteri; Perciformes; Percidae
Exons: 2
Source: RefSeq, a predicted model, not a curated record